RNAcentral lists this ribosomal RNA (460 nucleotides) under uncultured bacterium. RNAcentral describes it as "partial 16S ribosomal RNA". It matches the Rfam family "Bacterial small subunit ribosomal RNA", at positions 338 to 795 of the family's 1533-position model. The record is from RNAcentral.
CCUACGGGAGGCAGCAGUGAGGAAUAUUGGUCAAUGGGCGCAAGCCUGAACCAGCCAAGUCGCGUGAAGGAUGACUGCCCUACGGUUUGUAAACUUCUUUUAUAAGGGAAUAAAGUUAUGCACGUGUGCCUUUUUGUAUGUACCUUAUGAAUAAGCAUCGGCUAACUCCGUGCCAGCAGCCGCGGUAAUACGGAGGAUCCGAGCGUUAUCCGGAUUUAUUGGGUUUAAAGGGAGCGUAGAUUGGUUGUUAAGUCAGUUGUGAAAGUUUGCGGCUCAACCGUAAAAUUGCAGUUGAUACUGGCAGCCUGGAGUACAGUUGAGGUAGGCGGAAUGCGUGGUGUAGCGGUGAAAUGCUUAGAUAUCACGAAGAACUCCGAUUGCGAAGGCAGCUUACUAAACUGCCACUGACAUUGAUGCUCGAAAGCGUGGGGAUCAAACAGGAUUAGAUACCCCGGGAGUC